GCCAGGCACAGUGAUGCACACCUGUAGUCCUAGAUACUUGGGAGGCUUAGGCAGGAGGAUCGCUUUAGCCCAGGAGCUCAAGGCUGUAUGCAGUAUGCUAUGAUUGUGCCUGUGAAUAGCCACUGCACUCUAGCCUGGGCAACAUAGCGAGACCCUGACUUUA
This 163-nucleotide non-coding RNA is filed under the name Homo sapiens (human). Lineage: Eukaryota; Metazoa; Chordata; Mammalia; Primates; Hominidae. The record is from Rfam by way of RNAcentral.